CCCUACACCAAAAUUGUGGAAACUUCUCAAUCAUGUUUUGUCUCUGGGUUCCAAAGUGAAAUGUAUUGAUCGCAGAACCAUUGGUUGGCUAUGGAUUGUGAGGAUCGUUGGAUGCUGUCGAGGUGUGUUCCUGAAUGUUUUGUUGUUACAUAUCAGAACUUUUGAGUGGAGAGACUAUAAAGGAACAGAAGUUAAGAAAGAUGGUAGCUAUUUAUAUUCUGAGGAACUCGAGGCGGUUAGUCACUGCUGCAACUAUCUAUCCUGGCUCAGUCAAGUUAGUGAUCCAACCAGGAGUUCAAGAGCAUGUGACAGCUUACAAUAGGCUGAAAACUAAUCUUACUAAACUGUGCUAUUAACUAAGUUU
Molecule: long non-coding RNA, 364 nt
Filed under: Brassica napus (rape)
Lineage: Eukaryota; Viridiplantae; Streptophyta; Magnoliopsida; Brassicales; Brassicaceae
Description: long non-coding RNA (BNAP_LNC023458)
Source: RNAcentral